AUUGGCUUCUGUUGGCGCGUUGGAUCCCUGCUCAGGCAGCGACAACGUGCGACACAAGCCUCUUCAGUUGUUGGCUCUAGCAUGUAUCGUCCGUUGUCGGUUUCUUGUGUUGAAUACCUACUUGAAAGGCAUUAUUCGGUUGGUUGCAAAUGAUUCGACUCCGCCUUGUGCUGCGUGCCCCUUGGGGAUGCGGUGUCGGGUGGACCUCGAAGCACGCUAUGUGUACCAUGUCUCUUGCACAACCUUGUGCUCGAUUCGUUGGCCCAUGUUGCCGUGCGCGGUCUCUUGGAUAUGGAACAUUGUGCGGGCACGAGGUCCUCGGCCUCUAUCUUGCCCAAAUGCAAGCGUUCUACGCUUCGUGCGAACGACUUCCGCGGGUGUUGUGAUCGGGUCCUCGUGGCCUUGGUCAUGCGC
This 414-nucleotide unclassified non-coding RNA is filed under the name Castilleja vadosa. Its description in RNAcentral is "partial external transcribed spacer". Lineage: Eukaryota; Viridiplantae; Streptophyta; Magnoliopsida; Lamiales; Orobanchaceae. The record is from RNAcentral.